CGGACGGCGUUCUCGCCGGAUGUAGGAACCGACCGGGACCGCCGGGCAACCGGCGCCCCCGAGACGGGGCGAACCACGGUGAAAUGACGGAUCGUCGCCCCGCGCCGGCGACUCGCCGAAUGAGUUCUGACCUAUCAACUCGAGACGGCGGGUAGAGGCCCGCCGCGGUAACGACGGGUAACGGGGAAUCAGGGUUCGAUUCCGGAGAGGGAGCCCGAGAAAACGGCUACCACUUCCAAGGAAGGCAGCAGGCGCGCAACUUACCCUAAUCUCGAUUCGAGGAGGUAGUGACAAGAAAUACCGAUGCGGGACCCUACGGGUGCCGCGUUCGGAAUGAGUACGAUUCGAACCACCUAACGAGGAACGAUCGGAGGGCAAGUCUGGUGCCAGCAGCCGCGGUAAUUCCAGCUCCAAUAGCGUACGUUAAAGUUGCUGCAGUUAAAAAGCUCGUGAUAUCUUAUCUCGCCGCCCGUCGCGAGGCGGACGGAGGGAUGGAUGAGGUUACCUG
RNAcentral lists this ribosomal RNA (508 nucleotides) under uncultured eukaryote. RNAcentral describes it as "bacterial SSU rRNA". It matches the Rfam family "Eukaryotic small subunit ribosomal RNA", at positions 195 to 688 of the family's 1831-position model. The record is from RNAcentral.